RNAcentral lists this ribosomal RNA (216 nucleotides) under Glomeromycotina sp. RNAcentral describes it as "partial small subunit ribosomal RNA". The stretch from base 40 to 216 matches the Rfam family "Eukaryotic small subunit ribosomal RNA", at positions 686 to 864 of the family's 1831-position model. Lineage: Eukaryota; Fungi; Glomeromycota. The record is from RNAcentral.
GGGUCAGUAGGUUGGUCGUGCCACCGGUACGUACUGGUCUCACUGAUUCCUCCUUCCUGAAGAACCGUAAUGCCAUUAAUUUGGUGUUGCGGGGAAACAGGACUGUUACUUUGAAAAAAUUAGAGUGUUUAAAGCAAGCUAACGCUUGAAUACAUUAGCAUGGAAUAAUGAAAUAGGACGAUCGACCUUAUUUUGUUGGUUUCUAGGAUUGACGUA